This 73-nucleotide transfer RNA is filed under the name Bacteroidota bacterium. RNAcentral's name for it is "tRNA-Pro". It matches the Rfam family "tRNA". Rfam says of the family: Transfer RNA (tRNA) molecules are approximately 80 nucleotides in length. RNAcentral also lists the same sequence under 1 other name. The record is from RNAcentral. Lineage: Bacteria; Pseudomonadati; Bacteroidota.
CGGGGUGUAGCGCAGUUGGUAGCGUACUACGUUCGGGACGUAGGGGUCGGAAGUUCGAGUCUUCUCACCCCGA